RNAcentral lists this ribosomal RNA (253 nucleotides) under uncultured bacterium. RNAcentral's name for it is "partial 16S ribosomal RNA". It matches the Rfam family "Bacterial small subunit ribosomal RNA", at positions 524 to 776 of the family's 1533-position model. The record is from RNAcentral.
UACGUACGAGGCGAGCGUUAUCCGGAAUUAUUGGGCGUAAAGAGCUCGUAGGCGGCUUGUCACGUCGGGUGUGAAAGCCCGGGGCUUAACCCCGGGUCUGCAUUCGAUACGGGCUAGCUAGAGUGUGGUAGGGGAGAUCGGAAUUCCUGGUGUAGCGGUGAAAUGCGCAGAUAUCAGGAGGAACACCGGUGGCGAAGGCGGAUCUCUGGGCCAUUACUGACGCUGAGGAGCGAAAGCGUGGGGAGCGAACAGG